GCCUCCAUAGCUCAAUGGAUAGAGCAGCGCUCUUCUAAGGCGUUGAUCGAGGUUCGACUCCUCGUGGGGGCA
Molecule: transfer RNA, 72 nt
Filed under: bacterium
Lineage: Bacteria
Description: tRNA-Arg
Rfam family: tRNA
About the family: Transfer RNA (tRNA) molecules are approximately 80 nucleotides in length.
Source: RNAcentral